CCGCCAACGGCGAGCGUGGUGUCCCAUCUCUACUAUGGUGGUACAAUACUUUCCUCAGAUCCGUCUCGGUGGAAACCCGAUGCAGGUGCUAUUAGUGAAAGGAUUGGAGACUGGUUCUAGCGGUGGUUGGUUUGUUUGAGGAAUUCCUAGUGCUCGUGAUUUGUAAAGGGUUUCAGCCAGGGCAAGUAAUUAUCAGCUGAGCAAAGGCUACAACAUGUUAGGAGGAGAAGUUUGAAU
Molecule: long non-coding RNA, 237 nt
Organism: Triticum dicoccoides
Lineage: Eukaryota; Viridiplantae; Streptophyta; Magnoliopsida; Poales; Poaceae
Exons: 3
Source: RefSeq, a predicted model, not a curated record